UCGGGAAUUUUGGGCGAUGGGCGAAAGCCUGACCCAGCAACGCCGCGUGAGGGAUGAAGUAUUUCGGUAUGUAAACCUCGAAAGAAUGGGAAGAAUAAAUGACGGUACCAUUUAUAAGCUCCGGCUAACUACGUGCCAGCAGCCGCGGUAAUACGUAGGGAGCAAGCGUUGUUCGGAUUUACUGGGCGUAAAGGGCGCGUAGGCGGCGCGGUAAGUCACUUGUGAAAUCUCUGAGCUUAACUCAGAACGGCCAAGUGAUACUGCUGUGCUAGAGUGCGGAAGAGGCAACCGGAAUUCUUGGUGUAGCGGUGAAAUGCGUAGAUAUCAAGAGGAACACCGGAGGCGAAGGCGGGUUGCUGGGCCGACACUGACGCUGAUGCGCGAAAGCCAGGGGAGCAAACG
This 402-nucleotide ribosomal RNA is filed under the name uncultured bacterium. RNAcentral describes it as "bacterial SSU rRNA". It matches the Rfam family "Bacterial small subunit ribosomal RNA", at positions 355 to 774 of the family's 1533-position model. The record is from RNAcentral.